UACGGAGGGGGCUAGCGUUGUUCGGAAUUACUGGGCGUAAAGCGCGCGUAGGCGGACCUGCAAGUCGGGGGUGAAAGCCCGAGGCUCAACCUCGGAACUGCCUUUGAUACUGGCAAGCUUGGAGUCCGGGAGAGGUGAGUGGAACUGCGAGUGUAGAGGUGAAAUUCGUAGAUAGUCGCAAGAACACCAGUGGCGAAGGCGGCUCACUGGCCCGGUACUGACGCUGAGGUGCGAAAGCGUGGGGAGCAAACAGG
This 254-nucleotide ribosomal RNA is filed under the name uncultured bacterium. RNAcentral's name for it is "partial 16S ribosomal RNA". It matches the Rfam family "Bacterial small subunit ribosomal RNA", at positions 524 to 776 of the family's 1533-position model. The record is from RNAcentral.